UACGGGGGGGGCAAGCGUUGUUCGGAAUUACUGGGCGUAAAGGGCUCGUAGGCGGCCAACUAAGUCAUACGUGAAAUCCCUCGGCUUAACCGGGGAACUGCGUCUGAUACUGGAUGGCUUGAGUUCGGGAGAGGGAUGCGGAAUUCCAGGUGUAGCGGUGAAAUGCGUAGAUAUCUGGAGGAACACCGGUGGCGAAGGCGGCAUCCUGGACCGAUACUGACGCUGAGGAGCGAAAGCGAGGGGAGCAAACGGG
RNAcentral lists this ribosomal RNA (253 nucleotides) under uncultured bacterium. RNAcentral's name for it is "partial 16S ribosomal RNA". It matches the Rfam family "Bacterial small subunit ribosomal RNA", at positions 524 to 776 of the family's 1533-position model. The record is from RNAcentral.